Molecule: ribosomal RNA, 433 nt
Rfam family: Bacterial large subunit ribosomal RNA
AUGAUUGAUUUAAUAGCCGCAGUAUCUUGACUGUGCAAAGGUAGCAUAAUAAAUUGUCUUUUAAUUGGGGACUGGAAUGAAUGAUAGGAUGUGAUAAGUACUGUCUUUAUGGUAAUUGGUUGAAAUUUACUUUUUGAUGAAAAGGUUAAAAUUUGGAUGGUAGACGAGAAGACCCUAUCAAGCUUUAUUUUGAUUGGAAGUCUUGCUUUAUUUUAUUGGUGGGUGGAUUUUAAUUAAAAUUUUAUUGGGGCAAUGUUUGAAUAUAUUAUAAUUUUUUAAUUUUUGUUAUAGAUUGAUCCAUUUUUAAUGAUUAGUGGAGUAAGUUACUGUAGGGAUAACAGCGUAAUUAAUUUGGAGAGUUCAUAUUGGUAAAUUGGAUUGCGACCUCGAUGUUGGUUUAAUGAUUCUUUAGGGUGUAGCAGUUUUAUAAGAG